Rosa rugosa (rugosa rose) is the source of this 2221-nucleotide RNA transcript. It is a transcript of the gene named pentatricopeptide repeat-containing protein At2g30780, with no coding region annotated. NCBI's taxonomy places the organism in Eukaryota, Viridiplantae, Streptophyta, Magnoliopsida, Rosales, Rosaceae. The transcript is spliced from 3 exons. The record is from RefSeq and is a predicted model, not a curated record.
UUUACUCUCUUUUUUUACCGCAGUUUACUUUUGUCCAUGUGUAAAACCUUAUCCCCCGAGUGUGAAGCCAAAACCCUUGGCAAAAACCCCCCAACAAAAGAUGCCCACAGCGGAGCAAUGAAACGAAUAUGGAGGCUCUCCGACGCGGCCCAAUCCGAGCUCUUCAGCCGCCACCGAUGCUCCCCUAAACCCAAAACCCUAACCCCCUACACUUACACCCUCACCAACUCCGCCAAUUUCAGAUUCACUCGCGACGUCGUCAACAAUGCCCAGAACCCGCCUCCUUCUCCUCCACCCAACUCCUUCUCAAGCGUCAUCGCUCUCUUCACCGACCAGCCCAGCCCACAAGAGACCAGGGCCCGGGAGGAUCUGGCCCGCAAGAUCAAGCAGCUGAGGGCGGAGCUGGUUCAGAGCGCCGGCGAUUCGGAGAAGAUUGUUAGGGUUUUGGAGGAGAAGGGCUGUGAGUUUUUGUGGAGCAGUAAUUUUAAGGAUGUAAUUCCUAUUGUGGAGCUUAUGCAUCAGUUGCGUCAUUGGCCUCAUUUGGCCCUGGAGGUUUUUAAUUGGAGAAGAAAUCAGGCGGAUGGUGGCACUCCUAUGACGGCUGAGGAGUAUACCAAGGCUAUUACAUUUGCAGGUAAAAUUAAGAAUGUUCAACUUGCCCUCGAGUUAUUCGAUGAAGCUGUAAACAAGCGGAUCAAGACAACUUCUAUGUAUAAUGCACUCAUGAGUGCUUAUGUGCUCAAUGGCCAUACUGCUAAAUGUCAGUCUUUGUUUCGGGACCUCAAGAGGGAACAGUAUAUCAGACCUACCAUUGUGACAUACAACAUUCUCAUUUCCGUCUUUGGUCGAUUGAUGCUAGUUGAUCAUAUGGAGGCAACUCUUCGGAGGUUAAAGGAAUCAGAUCUCUCCCCUAAUUUAGGCACAUACAAUAAUUUAAUUGCUGGAUACAUUACUGCUUGGAUGUGGGAUAGAAUGGAAAAAACUUUCGGAAUGAUGAAGGCAGGCCCUGUUAGUCCUGAUAUUAGCACCUACUUGCUAAUGCUUCGAGGAUAUGCACAUUCAGGUAAUCUGGUAAAGAUGGAGGAGACGUAUGAGUUGGUGAAACAUCAUGUAAACGACAAGGAAAUCCCAUUGAUAAGGGCUAUGAUAUGUGCAUAUUGCAGUAGUUCUGUCACAGACAGAGUGCAAAAAAUACACACACUGAUGAACCUUAUUCCAGAAAAUCAAUACAGGCCUUGGUUGAAUGUAAUGCUGAUUAGGGUUUAUGCUCAAGAGGAUUGUUUUGAGGCGAUGGAGAGGUCAAUAAAUGAAGCAUUUGAGCGCAAAACCUCCAUACAUACUGCCGGUUUGAUGCGAUCUAUAGUUGCGAGUUAUUUCAGAUGCAAAGAGGUGGACAGACUAGCACAUUUUGUGAAGCGUGCAGAAUGUGCUAGGUGGAGAAUUUGCCGGUCCCUAUAUCACUGUAAGAUGGUCAUGUAUGCAUCAGAACAGCGCUUAGAAGAAAUGGAGAAUGUCCUUGGUGAGAUGGCGUGUUUUAAGUUGGAUCGCACGAAGAAAACAUUUUGGAUAUUGUAUCAUGCCUACUCUAGUUGUGGUCAAAGAAAUAAGGUUGCACAAGUAUUAGGAUCAAUGUGGAAGCAUGGUUAUGAAGUUCCAUUGGAGGUAUUGUCAUCAUGAUUCUUUCUUUCACUAUGGUAGAACAUAUUGGAUGCCAGAAAUAGCAUAAAGCAAUAUUCGUGAAAGGUUCAUUCCGUCUAUAAUACGCAACAGGGGUUCAACGUCUUUCUCAGAAUCAAUACAUUAUUUGAUGGACCAUGGCUGUCAAAAUGCUGAAUGCUUAUAGAAAUCCAAAUAAGUUCCACCAAGUCAUCGAAGAGUUCCAUCAAAAAAUCCCAGCAUUUGUGAUUGAAUCAACAAAUCUUUUAGCAAAUUAGAUUGACAAAGAGACAGACCUUGCCAUAUAUGAGGGACUGUAGAUGAUGCGACAAAUUACAUCUGAAACAAGACCAAGGUAAUAUUCGGAAGUAAUUUUCCAGAUUCUUGCAUGUACUUUCUGAUAGUAUAAAACAAAAAUUUUGCUGCCAAUUCAAUUUUAUAAUUGUUCUUUGAAGUAGGAUCCAUCCAGCUGCAGCUUAAUUGUAUCUGCAUGGCUUUGGAACUAUGGAUGAUAUAUGUGUAUGAAUACUCAAAAAAAAAAAAAACUUCUCAUUCUUAUCAUACA